GGCGAAGGGAGGGGGAUGGGGAUUGAAAAUCAAAUGAAGACUUGGUGGUAAAAAUCACAUGUGUCUAUAUGUUUGCCACGAAGAUGCUGUGUUAGCAGGCACGCAAACAACAGCAGUGAUCCAAGUGUAGGGGUGCACGCCUGUAAUCCCAGAACUCAGACGUGGAGCCAGGUGACCCCUCAAGGCCAGCCUGGUCUACACAGUGUAUUCUGGGCUACAUAGCAAAACUUUGUCUCAACAAGUGUCCCAUCAAGCCCAAACCUAGACCACCAACAACGACAUACUUGUUACUCAUCUCUGUCAUAGCUCUUUGAUAACCCAGGGCUUUAAUUGCAGAUAAAUCAGCCUGGAUCUAUGAAUCCAGGCCUUGACCUCUUGUUAGUGCUGAAGCUCCUGGUGGCCUUCGUGUCAUCUUGUGGCUGCACUCAUCAGUUUUCUUGGCGAGGGUCUAAACAGCUUGCUUUGGGUAGCGCAGCAGUGUUUCUAACCUUAUCUUGCAUGUUUAUGUGUGGAGGUGUUUCUUUUUCUUAAGCCUCAUGGGCUGAGCUGCGGCUCUUCAACUGUUUUCUUCUAGAGAUGUCAGUCCAUCAUGGUGGGACUGGUAUGAUACAGCAGGACAUCCUGGCCACCAAAGCUUUAUAUCAGCAAGAAGACUAUUCAUCUACCACUCACGUUCUCACUGGGGUAGUGCUUCAGAGACUGUUCAUCUACCAUUCACAUGCUCACUGGAAGUUUGUCCUUGUGUUCUCAGUAUGGCGAACUCUUUGGUCAAAUAGCUGGCUGUUGGUCUGUCUGGAGUCCUGACACACUUUGCUUACUAGGCCAAUCUUUCUAGCUCUUGGUUAAAGAUGAGAGUUUGUGACUAGUUCUCUCACUGAACAUUUAUGAAGCCGUGAUAGAGUUACUGAUGUGAUUUUCAUAUUCUUACAUCAUGGGAAAUAAAUUGAGGAGAGUGAGAAAGAUGAUAGAAUGGCCAUUUCAUUUAGUGGCACAGUUAGAAUUUAUACACUUCUUGGUUAAAGUCUCUAUUUUGUAGAGAAAAGGCUCAUUAAUCAUCCCACCCCACACCCCAAAUUACCUUAGUAACAUAAAAGGUCAUUAGCUCCAGAUCGCUUGGAUUUAAAAGCAUUUGAAAUACUGUGAAAAUUACCAAGAUCCACAGGACACAGAUACGUCACAAGAGCACAGCUUGAUAGACUUUCUUGGUUCAGGGUUGCCACAAAGCUUUAUGUUUGGGUAAAAAAUACCCAGUCUCUAAAAAGUGUUAAAGGAAGGUGUGCCUGGAGCAAAACACUUGGUUUUAGGCAUUCAGUCCUAGAGUUAGUAGGCACUAAGGAGAAGCGAUCCUCCACUGCAUUCUACUUUUCUGUGAGCGUGGGAAUGUUUUAGGAACGUUCCGCUUCUCACUGGCCAACAUCUACGGCUGCCUUUUCUGCAUCACAGAUGUGUUUGGUAACUGCAUUUCCUGGCUUUAUAACCCAUGCCUGUCAAGCUGGUAACACAAUACCAUACACUGAGGAGGUAAGUGACAGGUUAUUUAUUCCUCACAAUUCUGGAGGCAGGACAGUCCUAUCUCAAGAUAGCAGCCUGUUUAGGUCCUGGUGAGAGCUCUCUCUCUCGCAGAUGCAGUCUUCUUGAUGUGUCCUUAGAAGGCCUUUCCUCCUGGUGUGUCAAGGGUGUCCCUUUUGUGUACUAAUACUGGACAGAACACAAUCCUUGUGACCUCCUUUAACUAUGGUCUCCUUGGUUCUGAUCUCUAGCUGUGGGACUUAAGGGUUAGGGCUUCCAUGCAGGAAUGUUGGGUUGAUACAAAUGAAGGGAUUGUUUCUUCUUCCAACUUAAAAGUUUAAAAAAAGUGAGCUUAUAACCCAUCAAAUAAAGACAGUCACCACUAUACCGAUUGUUUCAGAAUUCAUGUUAGCAACUGCUCACAAAACCCUCAUGUGUCACAGAAACUAAAAUAGAACUGAAAACACAAUGCCAUGAUUCAGAACAAUCUGCAGUUGUUUUUUUUUUUUUUUUUUUUUCUAUCAGUGGAACAAAAUGUCACUGGUCGCUGUGUCUACAACCUUCCACUUGGUGCUGGAGUGACUUUUUCCUUGAGUGACAGUGUCUUAGUCAGUGCUCUAUUGCUGUGAAAAGACAGCACCGCCACGGCAACUCUUAUGAAAAGAAAGUAAUUUGGGUUUGCUUACAGUGUCAGAGGGCUAGCCCAUAGUCAUGGUAAGAAGCAUGGCGGCCAGGCAGACAUAGUGAGGGGGUAGGAGAUCUGCAGGCUGCAGGAGAGCCAGGGAUCUGGCUUGGGCUUUUGAAAUCUCAAAGCCCACCCGCCAGUGAUACCUUCCUCCAACAAGACCCCACCUCCUCCAAGGCCACACCUCCCCCAAGGCCACACUUUCUCCAAGGCCACACCUCCUCCAGCAAGUCCACACUUCCAAAUCCUUUCAAAUGGUGUUGAUCCCUGAUCCCUAAGCGUUAGAAUAUAUGAGCCUACAGAGCAAUUCUUACACAAACCACCAAAGACAGCUUGGCCUAUAGUGGGGUUUUCUAAGUGUCUGUCCCAAUGGGAGUAGCUAAGUACCAUUUCUGCAAAACAUAAAGUAAGUACCUUUGUUGUUGUUGUUGUUUUUCCUUCACAGGACAAGGUUUUUGACACAUUAUACAUGCCUAUGUAGUUCAAAGUUCUUUGGACUGUGUUGCAACCUCCCGUGAGCCUCUGCGAGGAGGUUACUUCCUAAAGCAGUCUGAAGACAACAACUGAACGUUGACUUCUUUUGGUUUUCUUUUCCCAGUGUACUCUCACAUAAAUUGCUGGGGUUCCAGACGCCAUGAUGCAUUUACGGUAUCUUCAGAGUCCAGAAGAGAGGGAUUCAGGUUUCCUGGAGCUGCAGCUAAAGGUGGGAGCUGAGCUCGGGACCUCUGCGAUAGCAGUCUGUGCUCUUCACUGCUGAGCCAUCGCCUCUCCAGCCUCACAACAUGAGCACACUCAAUCCACUUCAUGUUGCUCAUGUGGACAUGGGUAUCCAGCCAUCCCCUGAGGUUUGGGCAGCCUACUGGUCGACACCCACAGAGAAGAGCGACUCUCACCUGACAGUCAUUAAGGCCAAUAUCUUCUCAGAGGUGGAACCUUGGGAGCUCUUCCCCACUCCAUGCUGAAUUUGAACAGGCUUGAUCUUGUGCAGCUCUUAUAUAAUUUCUGCUCGGUCUUCUGCAAUGGCUCCUGCGUGUUGGGUGGUGAGCAGCUAUCUGGACGAUCCAUCCAAAGCUGAGCACUUACACUCACUCCUACUUGGCAUGGAGACCUAAGUCAACUGCUACCCACUGUAUGAAGACGUUUCCCUGGCAAAGGGUGAGAGCAGCACACAUCUGUGGAUGUAGACAUACAUAGUUAGAAGGCAGUUUGAUAAUAUGACCAUUAGCAAACAUAAUCAAAGGGUUCUUCCCUUGGGCCUUUGACUUCCCCAGCCUUGGGUUUUGACUGGGUUUUCAGAACAAGGCAUGAAUCCCUCCUGUAGAACAGGCCUACAUCCAACCUAGAAAACAGCUGGUUACCUCCAUAAACUGUCUUGCCACGAUUGCAACAGUCAGAAGGUCAGUAUUGUAGCAUACUAGUCCUAUCUUUUCUCCUCCAGCAUCCUGCAAAGCCCCUUCUAGCACUAUUAAAGCUAGUCAGUAGGGCAAGAGUUCCCCAGACAAUUCAAGGUCAAUUUCUUUCAUCUUGCAACCAGUGUUUUCCAUAAUAGGUUUUACCAUCUAGUUAUGGGGGGCAACCAAGAGCAGUGGCAAUAACCUGGGUUGUUUGGGAUACCUCUGGGCUUCUCUGAUCUCUAAAUUCCUAGGGACCAGUGCCCGGCACUGAGAUUUUCAUUUAACAACUUAUGUCUUCUGGCAGUAACAACGUGUCCCCGACCUAAAGGUUUGGAGAACAGCCUGGCCACUAAACUGAUAUCUCUCUGCUUCUGUAAACUCUUGUUUACUACAGAUGUCCAGAGCUGCUUUUCAGCACACAUCACAGUUGCAGUUUUUGCCUUUAAAAACUUGAUAAAAUGGAGGUCAAGGCUGCUUCCUGCUACUAUGCCUGAGACAACCCACUGGAGGUAAAGACUCCAUAUGACUUAUCCACACACCUUGGGAAUUUUUCUCUUCAGGUACCCUUUAAUACUUGGGGGCUCCUACCAACAUUUCAGAGAAGACUCCCUCACCCCUGACCCUAGUCAAGGAUCAGGGCUGUCAGUCCAAGGAGAGGUCACGGAGAGAACAUUCCUUGGCCCUAGGAAUCAACUGCCCCUCUCCAACUUUCCCCCUAAAUGUUUUUGAAGAAGUCUACCUACAUUUAUAUUCGGUACCUCUGGACAUAAGAUAAACCUAGGUUUCAGGUUCCUAGUCUUUCUGGGAAAUUGGGGGAACUCAUGGACAAAGGGACACAUGGUAGGAAUUCCCGUAUCCAGGAUUCCCCUUCUCACCCUCAGGAUCUGGUUUGUCUUGGUGGCCACCGAUUUCUGUCUUGUUUGUUGCAUUCGUUUUCAAUGUCUCUUUCCCCUGUCUGUGUUUCUGUGCCCCAUUAAUCUUUUCCAUUUACAGUCAGGCAUGGGAAAUCAAACUUCAACAACACUGUCUCCUGAGACUCAGGUAAGUGUCACCAGAGCUGCCUGCUCUGUCUCUGUUGGCUCCUGGAGCCUAUUACAGUUACAAAAGCUGUACCAGUGUGUCAGACUGCUUCUCCCACCCCUCCUGGGCUGCUAAGCCCUGUCUUCCAGCUCCCUCCUGGAUCUUGUUCCGUCUCUCUUGCCCCAUUGCUCUUCUUUGCUUUGGGCUGCUGCCUCACUAGCUCGAUCUGUCUCUCACCUCCCACCUGGAGCUUCUUCUGUCUCUAGCCAUGGCAAACAACUUGUUUCUUCUUUUCUCCCUUUCUCAUUGCCAGACUGGAGUCUGCUGUUUCACAGGUUCAUCGGGCAUUUCUCUAUGCCUUCCUGGGCCUCUAAUAUACCGUAGUUCUCCAUCUGUCAAAGCCCCUGUUUAAAAUCCUUUCCUCUAAGUUUCUCCCAUCUCUUCUGCUUCUGAAGGAAGUCUUCUUGCCAGCCAUCUCUCAGGUGACUCCUGUCUCUAAGCACUGGGCUCUCAGGCUGCCUCUGCCCGACCCCAGCCAGUGUAGGGUGGUGCUGGCAAUCAUAGUAGGCAGAUCCAUGGCGACCAUAAGUACCUCCACCUGCUUUGUUUUGCCACCUGCUGCCUGUUGUGCUAUGGGAGCUCGCCUGUCCUCAGGGCUCUUAGCUAGAGGGGCACUAGAUUUCCAAAUUCUCACAGGUUGUUCCUCUGCCAUGGCACAAACAAAUGUCCCCAAAUCUCUUAUCUUCAAGCCUUCUUUGCUCUCUGCUCUGAGCCUCCUCUGUUCUCUGCUUGCUCUGGCCUCACCCUCUGGCCACUGGAUUCAGUUUUGCAGGGAUUCAGGUGUCUUUGAGGUCCGGAUAAAAUUAAGAUACUGUUUUGUGUUGUUCUACUCUAUAAAAACGCUGGAUCUGAAAUUGUGCUAUGGCCUUCUUUUUUUCUGCACCCCUCCCCCCAAGCAUGCUUGUUUAAGUCUCCUUCGGGGUUGGGGCUGGUGAGAACAAAGAUGAUGGUGGCCAUUGGCACCUGCCUCAGAGCUCUGAGGAUUCUGAGAGACCCAUGGAAUAUGCAGAGCUCACAGCAACUCUGGAACAACAAUGACAACACCAACAGCAACAACAGCAGCAACAACAGCAACAGCAAUAACAGGCAAGUUGAGAGAUAGGGUUUUAAAUUAGCUCAAAACUCAGCAACAGGAUCUGACUCAGGAAGACAGAUUGUUAAAAAUGCAGGAGAACUGGUAUAGACUCACUGACACUUUGCUUAUCACCGGACCUGAGUAAAUGAGUAAUGGAUUCUGUUCUGCCCCUGUGAUGUUUGUUCAAGCCCCCAUUGUGCCCUCCAGCCAUUUUGUCCUGCAGAAAGUAUUCCAGGAAACGGGCCAAGCCUAACCAGAUGUGUUUCAGACGCAGAUGCCUCAUCAACUCUGACAAACAUUUACCCUAAAGGACAGGAAUCAAGAUCUGUUCUCAGGAGAAUGAGAGCUUGACCUUUCCCCUCAUUUAAACCCUAGAGUCUUAAGAACAAUCCUGUGACUUUGAGAGUUUCCCUUUGUGACAUUUUUGGUAUUUCCUUUUGACAUCCCCUCAUCUCCUGGAGCUUGUGACUUCUUCCUCUAAAAAGCCCUUCUCCCAGCCACUUGGGGUCGACACCUCUGUCUUCUGCGUGGGAUACGUGUCGGCCCGGAGAUCUCCAUAAUAGAUCUCUGUAAUAAACCUUGCCUUUGUGUGUUACACCCAAAAUGGUCUCUGUGUCGGGGGUCCGAGACUUCCCAAGACUUGAGUAAGGGUCUCCCUUCGGGGAUCUUUCAAAGUCUUAUGGGAAGAUGCUUUUGCAAAAUAGACUCAUAAAAUUGGAAAGAAAGACAGUGGAUCAGAGCCCUCAGUAGCAGAUGAAUAUAUACCCUUUACCACCACUCAGCCAACAGGCCGUAAGCACAUAGGUCAUGCAUGAUGAACUGCUGGACACUGCCAGGGAGGACAGGGAGAUGUGUGGCAGCCUUGAGCUCAUGCAGAAACAUGAAAUUACCGAGUAGGGCCGGUCUUAGGCUUGCCAUCAUGGUGAUGCUGUGGCUGCAGUCUGUGCUUCUUGCUCUGCUGAGAGGUGGAGACUACAGGGCAGUGGUAACCCUCAGGCUACAACACAAAGGUGGGUGGAGUCUGGCAAGCCUCCAGGUGGCAGACAUCAAGGGCAGGGAGGUGUUUGGCAGUCAGGAGCUAACAAAGAAGCUGCCCUGGACACUCUGCCUAGUUGCAACAUCACCCUUCCUCUGGGCAAUAGAAAGAUACCAGGAUGCCACAGACUUAGCAGUGGUCCAGUAUUUAUGGUGCUUCAGAAACCAGAAACUUGGAACCAGACCAACUACUUGUUAUAAUGAAUAUUUCAUGUAAAGCUCUUUGGGAGAAAAAUCACACACACACACACACACACACACACACACACACACACACACACACACACUACAGUUUAUUAUGCCACUAUGAUGUAGGAAUACAUGAUGGAGAGGUGGGCAAAAUGGAGGAAC
This is a non-coding RNA of Rattus norvegicus (Norway rat), 7129 nucleotides long. The record is from RefSeq and is a predicted model, not a curated record. Lineage: Eukaryota; Metazoa; Chordata; Mammalia; Rodentia; Muridae.